Molecule: RNA transcript, 1423 nt
Organism: Coffea eugenioides
Lineage: Eukaryota; Viridiplantae; Streptophyta; Magnoliopsida; Gentianales; Rubiaceae
Exons: 8
Source: RefSeq, a predicted model, not a curated record
ACACUUUAAUGUACAAAUCAAUACAAUAAAAUCUUUGCUGGAAACCGUUGUUAGUAACUAACAUGCAACAAGAUAUGAAAGCCAUGUUCUUUAAAUUUGUAUUACAAGCAACCAACUUUAGUUCUUCUUGGGCCACAUAAACUUAUUCUACAGCAAUGACUGCAGCAAAAGCUUUACUAUCCUCAUUUCCAUCCAUUUUUCCCCAUCAAUCCCUUAUCUCCAGUAGGAGAACUGGAGUUGUCAGAGCAAGUAGAGCAAAGUUGUCAGAAUCAAAUGCCAGGAAAGCAAAUCUAUCUGCCAGAAAGAAAGAAAGGAUUCUAGUGCCAAGUUAUAGCAAGAUAGGUGCGGGCCAUAUAAGUGAAUUUCUGAAUCAUCCUUCUGGUGUUGAAGCAAUACUGAAUACAAGGUCCUUGCAAAGUUUUCAAUCCCUUGAUUCAAAUUUGUACAGGUGCAUCCUGCCACAAAUUCAACUUCUGAACUUUGAGGUUGCCCCUGUGCUGGACUUACUAGUGAGGUCAACUGAAGAAGAUUGCAUGGUUGAACUGUUGUCCUGCAAGUUUGAAGGCUCAGAACUUUUGGAGAGGCAGAAUGAUCGCUUUUCAGCAUCUAUGAGAAAUCACAUAACCUGGGAAACAGUGGAUUCCAAGUCCUUUCUGGAUGUUGAUGUGAAGUUGAAUAUCUCUCUUGAGAUCUAUACUUACCCAUUCAUAUUGCUUCCAGAAUCAACUGUUGAGGGUCCAGGAAAUUUAAUGAUGCAAGCCCUAGUGGACAGACUAGUACCGUUGCAUGUACAACAACUGCUGCAAGAUUAUGAUAAAUGGGUUCGUAGGCAGCAGAAAGUCUUGCAAUGAAAAGUGGUCUCCAGAGUUCAUUCUCAGACCUAAUUGGAGGUUCGCUCAAAUCUGCACUUUUGGUAGCACCUUGCGGAAUAUUAUCCCACAGCAGCUGCAUAACUAUUCAAUGGGCACCUUUAACAAGGCUAGAUAUUCUAUUUUCAUCUUUGCAGUGUAUAGCAACAUUUCAGUUUCCCUUACUGUGGCUUUCUUUUCUACUUCCAGAAGAUUAGGCAGAUUUACGAUAAGUUAAACCAGCACAAAGCUCAGCAUCAUCUGAACACAUAUCCCAUUCAAGACUCCUGUAUGGCAGGGCCCUUGGAUAUGUGUACACAACAGCCUUCGGGAAGUGUUCCAUCAAGUCAGUGACGUCUGUGUCACUUGUAGAUGUGAAAAAUGUACUUUGCUGCAUUAUGAUGUAUUAAUAACUUUUGAAGAGCAACCCCUUUGGAAGUUGGAAGUAUAGACCAGCAGGGUCCCUGGCAUUUGAGACUCUUAUCUUGAACUCGUGACUAUUUGUGAUCUCAUCAUUGGAAUUAUUCUUCAUUCCUUUUCCUUGUUAAUGCAAUAAUUUAUGAGUGUUUGGAUCA